This 467-nucleotide ribosomal RNA is filed under the name uncultured bacterium. Its description in RNAcentral is "partial 16S ribosomal RNA". It matches the Rfam family "Bacterial small subunit ribosomal RNA", at positions 28 to 506 of the family's 1533-position model. The record is from RNAcentral.
GACGAACGCUGGCGGCGUGCUUAACACAUGCAAGUCGAACGGAAAGGCCCUGCUUUUGUGGGGUGCUCGAGUGGCGAACGGGUGAGUAACACGUGAGUAACCUGCCCUUGACUUUGGGAUAACUUCAGGAAACUGGGGCUAAUACCGGAUAGGAGCUCCUGCUGCAUGGUGGGGGUUGGAAAGUUUCGGCGGUUGGGGAUGGACUCGCGGCUUAUCAGCUUGUUGGUGGGGUAGUGGCUUACCAAGGCUUUGACGGGUAGCCGGCCUGAGAGGGUGACCGGCCACAUUGGGACUGAGAUACGGCCCAGACUCCUACGGGAGGGAGCAGUGGGGAAUAUUGCACAAUGGGCGGAAGCCUGAUGCAGCAACGCCGCGUGCGGGAUGACGGCCUUCGGGUUGUAAACCGCUUUCGCCUGUGACGAAGCGUGAGUGACGGUAAUGGGUAAAGAAGCACCGGCGAACUACGU